This 76-nucleotide transfer RNA is filed under the name Chloroflexota bacterium. RNAcentral's name for it is "tRNA-Ala". It matches the Rfam family "tRNA". From Rfam's summary of the family: Transfer RNA (tRNA) molecules are approximately 80 nucleotides in length. The record is from RNAcentral. Lineage: Bacteria; Bacillati; Chloroflexota. RNAcentral also lists the same sequence under 2 other names.
GGGGCGAUAGCUCAGUUGGGAGAGCACCUGCUUUGCACGCAGGGGGUCAGGGGUUCGAAUCCCCUUCGCUCCACCA